AACUUCGUCCGUUGCAAGCUCACUUUGGAAACCAUGCAUCCGGGCGAUCAACUCGAUGUUGAUCUCGAUCGUGGUGAACCCG
Molecule: transfer RNA, 82 nt
Filed under: Synechococcus sp. CC9902
Lineage: Bacteria; Bacillati; Cyanobacteriota; Cyanophyceae; Synechococcales; Synechococcaceae
Description: tRNA-Leu
Source: RNAcentral